UACCCUUGACAUACAGUGGAGCUUGCAGAGAUGUGAGUGUGCCUUCGGGAACACUGAUAC
RNAcentral lists this ribosomal RNA (60 nucleotides) under uncultured organism. Its description in RNAcentral is "partial 16S ribosomal RNA". The record is from RNAcentral.